Molecule: ribosomal RNA, 253 nt
Filed under: uncultured bacterium
Lineage: Bacteria
Description: partial 16S ribosomal RNA
Rfam family: Bacterial small subunit ribosomal RNA
Source: RNAcentral
UACAGAGGGUGCGAGCGUUAAUCGGAAUUACUGGGCGUAAAGCGCGAGUAGGUGGUUUGUUAAGUGGGAUGUGAAAGCCCUGGGCUCAACCUAGGAACUGCAUCCCAAACUGGCAGGCUAGAGUACGAUAGAGGGGUGUGGAAUUUCCUGUGUAGCGGUGAAAUGCGUAGAUAUAGGAAGGAACACCAGUGGCGAAGGCGACACCCUGGAUUGAUACUGACACUGAGGUGCGAAAGCGUGGGGAGCAAACAGG